GAUGAACGCUAGCGGCAGGCUUAAUACAUGCAAGUUGAGGGGCAGCAUGAUAUACGCGAGUAUAUUGAUGGCGACCGGCGGACGGGUGAGUAAUAGGUAGGAGACCUACCUCAUACAGGGGGAUAGCAUAGAGAAAUCUGUGGUAAUACCCCAUGAGGUUAUAUGAAUAGAGGCAUAUAAUCAAAGCAUAAGCGAUUAUGCGGUAUGAGAGGGGCCUACUGACCAUUAGCUAGUUGGUGAGGUAAGGGCUCACCAAGGCGAAGAUGGUUAGGGGUUUUGAGAGAGAGACCCCCCACAUUGGAACUGAGAGACGGUCCAGACUCCUACGGGAGGCAGCAGUAGGGAAUAUGGGCAAUGGGCGAAAGCCUGACCCAGCCAUGCCGCGUGAAGGAAGACGGCCUUAUGGGUUGUAAACUUCUUUACUACGCGAAUAGAGGUUAGUACGAGAUACUAAUAGGAAGGUAGUGUAGUAAAAGCAACCGGCUAACUCCGUG
This 494-nucleotide ribosomal RNA is filed under the name uncultured bacterium. RNAcentral's name for it is "bacterial SSU rRNA". It matches the Rfam family "Bacterial small subunit ribosomal RNA", at positions 28 to 507 of the family's 1533-position model. The record is from RNAcentral.